Molecule: ribosomal RNA, 562 nt
Filed under: Scyliorhinus canicula (smaller spotted catshark)
Lineage: Eukaryota; Metazoa; Chordata; Chondrichthyes; Carcharhiniformes; Scyliorhinidae
Description: partial 16S ribosomal RNA
Rfam family: Bacterial large subunit ribosomal RNA
Source: RNAcentral
AUAAGAGGUCCCGCCUGCCCUGUGACAAUGUUCAACGGCCGCGGUAUUUUGACCGUGCAAAGGUAGCGUAAUCACUUGUCUUUUAAAUGAAGACCCGUAUGAAAGGCACCACGAGAGUUUGACUGUCUCUACUCUCUAAUCAAUGAAAUUGAUCUUCUCGUGCAGAAGCGAGUAUGAUAACAUAAGACGAGAAGACCCUAUGGAGCUUCAAAUACAUAAAUUAAUUAUGUACAUAUUAAUAAUCCCAGGACAUAAACAAAAAAUAUAAUACUUCUAAUUUAACUAUUUUUGGUUGGGGUGACCAAGGGGAAAAAUGAAUCCCCCUUAUCGACCGAGUAUUCAAAUACUUAAAAGUUAGAAUUACAAUUCUAACCGAUAAAAAUUUUAUCGAAAAAUGACCCAGGAUUUUCCUGAUCAAUGAACCAAGUUACCCUAGGGAUAACAGCGCAAUCCUUUUUCAGAGUUCCUAUCGACAAAAGGGUUUACGACCUCGAUGUUGGAUCAGGACAUCCUAAUGGUGCAACCGCUAUUAAGGGUUCGUUUGUUCAACGAUUAAUAGUCC